GACGUAGGGCGCGAGCGUUGUCCGGAUUUAUUGGGCGUAAAGAGCUCGUAGGCGGCUUGUCGCGUCGUUCGUGAAAACCUGCGGCUCAACUGCAGGCUUGCGGUCGAUACGGGCAGGCUGGAGUUCGGUAGGGGAGACUGGAAUUCCUGGUGUAGCGGUGAAAUGCGCAGAUAUCAGGAGGAACACCGGUGGCGAAGGCGGCAUCCUGGACCGGCAUUGACGCUGAGGCGCGAAAGCUAGGGGAGCAAACGGG
RNAcentral lists this ribosomal RNA (253 nucleotides) under uncultured bacterium. RNAcentral's name for it is "partial 16S ribosomal RNA". It matches the Rfam family "Bacterial small subunit ribosomal RNA", at positions 524 to 776 of the family's 1533-position model. The record is from RNAcentral.